CUGACCGAGCAACGCCGCGUGAGUGAAGAAGGUUUUCGGAUCGUAAAGCUCUGUUGUAAGUCAAGAACGUGUGUGAGAGUGGAAAGUUCACACAGUGACGGUAGCUUACCAGAAAGGGACGGCUAACUACGUGCCAGCAGCCGCGGUAAUACGUAGGUCCCGAGCGUUGUCCGGAUUUAUUGGGCGUAAGGGGAGCGCAGGCGGUCAGGAAAGUCUGGAGUAAAAGGCUAUGGCUCAACCAUAGUGUGCUCUGGAAACUGUCUGACUUGAGUGCAGAAGGGGAGAGUGGAAUUCCAUGUGUAGCGGUGAAAUGCGUAGAUAUAUGGAGGAACACCAGUGGCGAAAGCGGCUCUCUGGUCUGUCACUGACGCUGAGGCUCGAAAGCGUGGGUAGCGAACAGGAUUAGAUACCCUGGUAGUCCACGCCGUAAACGAUGAGUGCUAGGUGUUAGGCCCUUUCCGGGGCUUAGUGCCGGAGCUAACGCAAUAAGCACUCCGCCUGGGGAGUACGACCGCAAGGUUGAAACUCAAAGGAAUUGACGGGGGCCCGCACAAGCGGUGGAGCAUGUGGUUUAAUUCGAAGCAACGCGAAGAAACCUUACCAGGUCUUAACAUCC
Molecule: ribosomal RNA, 616 nt
Filed under: Streptococcus mutans
Lineage: Bacteria; Bacillati; Bacillota; Bacilli; Lactobacillales; Streptococcaceae
Description: bacterial SSU rRNA
Rfam family: Bacterial small subunit ribosomal RNA
Source: RNAcentral